GGCUGGGUCCUGUGCGACGGGAGCCUGUGAACCGAGUCAGGGCCGGAAGGCAGCAGCUCUCAGUGGGUCAUCCCGGGUGCCGCAGUAAACCUGGCCGCU
This 99-nucleotide signal recognition particle RNA is filed under the name Acidimicrobiales bacterium. Its description in RNAcentral is "signal recognition particle sRNA small type". It matches the Rfam family "Bacterial small signal recognition particle RNA". Rfam says of the family: The signal recognition particle (SRP) is a universally conserved ribonucleoprotein involved in the co-translational targeting of proteins to membranes. Archaeal SRP consists of a 7S RNA and homologues of the eukaryotic SRP19 and SRP54 proteins. In most bacteria, the SRP consists of a 4.5S RNA and the Ffh protein (a homologue of the eukaryotic SRP54 protein). The record is from RNAcentral. Lineage: Bacteria; Bacillati; Actinomycetota; Acidimicrobiia; Acidimicrobiales. RNAcentral also lists the same sequence under 1 other name.